UCUGUGAAACUCUUUCUGGUUCUCCCAGUGAAACCCUACCAUUAAAGUUCAUUCUUCCUAUUUCUGCUACCACCACCAUCAUUAUCAUCAACAUCAUAACCCCCCAAAUCCUUUUCCUUAUUUUCUUUCGAAGCCCUAGAAAUAUCUUUAUGUCCGCAGAUUCCCAAAACCUAAAACCUAAUGGUCGUUGUCUUGAAUAUUGGGUUCAAUUCGAGUUUGAAAUCGGAAGCAAGGUGGAUGAAUCAGACGAGGUUUUGGAUAGAAAAUGAAAGCCAAGAACUAGGGUUCUGUUCUGGUUCGAUUUUAAAGAAGAGAGAGAUGAGAAGGAGAUGUUGUGAUGGAAUCGUAUAUGGGUUUGUUGUUAUACCAAGAAAUCAAGAUGAGAAGAUGACAUCGAUGACGGAGGAGAAGAAAUUGAAGAUAGGGUUUGAGUUAAAUCAACAAGUAAUUGAGGAAUUGUGUUGAUGAUUAUGAAUUUGGUAACAGAGAAGAAUAAAACCUUGCUAGUGUUGAAUUUGUAGAUCACUGGAGGUGAUUGAAGCAUGAAUGGUAGUUCUAGUGGGUUUAGGAGAUUGGAUUUACCCAAUUUUGAGUCUGCAGUUAGGGUUAUGGGUUGUGAAGAUGAUGGAGUUGAUAUGGAGUUAAUAGGAGUGGGAAAAUUGGUGGUAUCCGAUGAUGAUGGUGAUGUAUGAAGCUGUUUAUGAUGAUGCUUGAUGCUGAUGGAUAAAGGUCAUAGAAGAUUGCCAGUUCUCUGUGAGCAGCCUACAACAUGAUUGGACUUGUUCUGGUAGUACUUUGAAGAUUAUGCUAGGUCUCCUUGUGCACGAAGUUCAUCAAUAAUUCAGCUUCUGGGUAUAUCAGGUUACAAGAAUUUACAAAGAUAAGGAUCACAUAGAAGUUGAGUUCACUGCGAGUCUCUUUGUACUGAUGGCUUUGUUUAUGGUUGGCGUUUCAAGAUCUUCGAGUUGCUGAUAAUGACCUGCAUCCAACAAAAGGGUUUGAAGAAAAAUAUCAAAAGGGAAGGUCCCUCUUGCAGGAGGUGUCUAGGAUAUACGGGUAAAGCUGUCAGGUUCGUGAUGCGAGCUUUUUGGGAAGCCUAAAACAUGGAACUGAAGAAUAAUGAUGCCAAUGGAGCGAUUUAACUGCAAGUCUCAAGUCGGAUUAUCCAAAUUGCACUCUACUUCUUUCUAAAAUCAUGGAGUGUUUUCUUUUUGGAAGUAUCAAGAAAGACAAGAUCAUAUACGACGAAGAGCUAAUAGACACAGCAAAUGAGGUUGUUGAUAGUGUUGACAAAGAUGAAUUUUAUUGAAGCUAUUUUCGGUGGAUUAUUAUCCUGAAGAUAACAAUGCUGAGGCAAUGAAAAAGAAGAUGGACGCAACACGAGAUCGGUUGGUAGAAGCAUUAUACCAAAAAGGAUUAUCACUUUACAAGAUCGAUUCUCUCAAGGUGGAAAUAUCUUUCUUCUCUUAAUGUAUUUUUCACCUCCUUAUAUUAACAUAUGAUUUUUCUUUAUCCAUAAACUGUUCAAAAUGGUUUAAAAUGCGAACGAUAUGCUUAUAUUAUCAUUUGUUGCAUGCGUUACCGAUUUACGGCUCCCUUCUAUGUGUCUUGAAUUCUUAUUUUUGAAACUGUUAUAAUGUGUCUUGAAUAGUAAAGUUCAUAGUCCUAACUUAGUCUCAAGGGUGUAAUUGUAAUUUAUGUGGAUAUAUAAAGCAUUAUGCUAGAGUGUCUCAAUAAGGCCAGUUGUUAUUGACAGAUUGAGAAGGGAAAGGGGUCAAGCUGUUAUAGAAUCGAGAGAGGUCCAGUGAAGAGUUUUUGUAAUCUUAUUCAUACAUAGUGAAUCAAUAUCAUUGUUAUUACCGUGGAUGUAGGUCACAUGACUCUAAUUGACAAGCCAUUGGCUUGCUUCUUAUGAUGUUUUGAAUUAUCAGUUCACUCAUGAAGCAAUGUGUCGAGCUGAAGAGGAUAGAAAAAGUGACUAGGUUCACCAGAAAGCUGUGUAAUGUUUAGCUGACGCUGAAGAGUACCCUACGUUUUUUCGAGAAACAUGAAGAGCAGGGAACCCAGGAAGAAGAGGUUGUUGAGGUCGAAGAUGAUUCCAAAGAUAUGAUCAAUAAGUACCACUUACAAGGAUGGUUAUGAAGCAACAAGAAACUAUACUUGUUUGAGCAUGUAGGUAAUGAAUGAUUUGGAGCUUGUCUCCAGGUAUUAUGCCUUUAAGAUUGUAUCUGCUAUUGGUAUUACAGUUAACAUUACACCUGCAGAAUUUGUAUGUUCUGAAAACUUAGAAAAUGUUUAUAUACUAGUCAUACUUUUGAUACUAGGCACAGAAUGUAUGGAACUUGAUUUUGAUUUCUAAAUGAACUGGAGAAACUUGAUUUUUUUUAUA
Long non-coding RNA from Papaver somniferum (opium poppy), 2389 nucleotides. RefSeq lists it as uncharacterized. The record is from RefSeq and is a predicted model, not a curated record. NCBI's taxonomy places the organism in Eukaryota, Viridiplantae, Streptophyta, Magnoliopsida, Ranunculales, Papaveraceae. The transcript has 8 exons.